GACGUAGGGCGCGAGCGUUGUCCGGAUUUAUUGGGCGUAAAGCGCUCGUAGGCGGCUUGUUGCGUCGACCGUGAAAACCCGGGGCUCAACUUCGGGCUUGCGGUCGAUACGGGCGGGCUAGAGUUCGGUAGGGGAGACUGGAAUUCCUGGUGUAGCGGUGAAAUGCGCAGAUAUCAGGAGGAACACCGGUGGCGAAGGCGGGUCUCUGGGCCGAUACUGACGCUGAGGAGCGAAAGCGUGGGGAGCGAACAGG
RNAcentral lists this ribosomal RNA (253 nucleotides) under uncultured bacterium. RNAcentral describes it as "partial 16S ribosomal RNA". It matches the Rfam family "Bacterial small subunit ribosomal RNA", at positions 524 to 776 of the family's 1533-position model. The record is from RNAcentral.